AGGAUUCCCCUAGUAACGGCGAGUGAAGCGGGAAUAGCCCAGCACCGAAUCCCUCGGCUCAAGGCCGGCGGGAAAUGUGGUGUAUAGGAAGCCGAUUGGCGCGGCGACGAGCGUCCAAGUCCUCCUGAUCGUGGCCUUGCCCAGAGAGGGUGUCAGGCCCGUGAGGCGCGCCAGUCGCCCGCGUCUUCGAGCUUCCUCGGAGUCGGGUUGUUUGGGAAUGCAGCCCAAAGGUGGGUGGUAAACUCCAUUUAAGG
RNAcentral lists this ribosomal RNA (254 nucleotides) under Macoma calcarea. RNAcentral describes it as "partial large subunit ribosomal RNA". It matches the Rfam family "Eukaryotic large subunit ribosomal RNA", at positions 71 to 315 of the family's 3401-position model. Lineage: Eukaryota; Metazoa; Mollusca; Bivalvia; Cardiida; Tellinidae. The record is from RNAcentral.